RNAcentral lists this non-coding RNA (21 nucleotides) under Caenorhabditis elegans. The record is from RNAcentral. Lineage: Eukaryota; Metazoa; Nematoda; Chromadorea; Rhabditida; Rhabditidae.
UAAGAUAAAAAUUAUGACCGA